This 407-nucleotide ribosomal RNA is filed under the name uncultured bacterium. Its description in RNAcentral is "partial 16S ribosomal RNA". It matches the Rfam family "Bacterial small subunit ribosomal RNA", at positions 28 to 526 of the family's 1533-position model. The record is from RNAcentral.
GACGAACGCUGGCGGCGUGCCUAAUACAUGCAAGUAGGACGGAGGUGCGAACGGGUGAGUAACGCGUAGGUAACUGCCUAUUGGAGGGGGAUAACCAUUGGAAACGAUAGCGAAUACCGCAAACUAGUAGAUGGACCUGCGGUUGAUUAGCUAGUAGGGAGGGUAAUGGCCUACCUAGGCAACGUAACAUAGCCGACCUUGGAGGGUGAUCCGCCCACCUUGGAAUGAGACAAGGCCCAGACUCCUACCGGAGGGAACAAGUGGGGAUCUUCGGCCAUGGGGGGAACCCUGACCCAGCACAGCCCCGUGGUGUGAGAAGGUUUUCGGAUCGUAAAGCUCCGUUGUUAAGGGAGCGUUACUUAACCAGAAAGGAACGGCUAACUACGUGCCAGCAGCCGCGGUAAUAC